This is an RNA transcript of Salvia hispanica, 640 nucleotides long. It is a transcript of the gene named umecyanin-like, with no coding region annotated. NCBI's taxonomy places the organism in Eukaryota, Viridiplantae, Streptophyta, Magnoliopsida, Lamiales, Lamiaceae. The record is from RefSeq and is a predicted model, not a curated record.
UCAAAGGUAGUAAUUUUAGAGAGGCAGGGGCAACCUUGGAACACAAUUAUAAAAUGGCUAACACUAAGAGUUUGGUAUUGUUUGGAUGAUUAGCCGCCGCCGUAUUGAGCGGUUAUGCCGCCGAUACGUACAAUGUGGGAGACGACCUCGGGUGGACGAGACCGCCUCUUGGAGAAGUAGCCUACCAGACAUGGGCUAGGGUUAAAGAUUUUGACGUCGGAGAUACCAUAACAUUCAGCUGGAGUGGAACACACAAUGUAGCCCAAGUGACAAAAGAUGGUUAUGACAGUUGCAAUGCGACAGGCAACUUGUUGAUAGGCCAAGUCCAGACAGUAAGCCCAUACAACUUCCUCAUCAACUCAACGGACCCUUACUAUUUCAUUUGCACCGUCCCCGAACACUGCGCCAACGGCCAGAAGGUUACAGUCCAAGUCCGCUCCUGGAACGCCGCCGCUCCCUCAGCCGCCUUCUCGUCUGUCUUCUUCGCCAUCGCCGCCUCCACUUUCAUCUUUGCAUCUCUUUUCUAUUAAGAUAUUUAAUUUUAUGUAUUUUUCAUACAAUAUUUUGUAAAUUGAUUCAUGUUUAAUAUCUAUGUGUUGUUUAAAAUCUAAUCUUUAAUAAAAUUGCAUUUUUAGUCAAA